CAGAGUUCGAUUUCGGCUCAGGGCCGCCAACACCCAGUGACGCUUCAUUGAGCCGGUCCUGGGCCUCCCCUAGGUCCGACUGAGAGUCAAUGAGUACCUGGUGCGGUGUGGACAUCGCCACUCGGGAUACAAAGACCCGAAUGCCCUCUUCUCGUGUCCUCUUCUCGUGUCCUGCAACCACAGUGACGUAUGUCGCCAUGAUCGGCCUCAUGGUGACGUGGCCCGGUCUGCAGCCCUGGCGAGGUCCUGCAUGGUGCACGGCUCUGCAGGAGCCGACAGACCCGACAGGCGCUCCGUGGUCUGUCUCCUCACAGCAAGUCCACACGUGCGUCAGUGCCACUGGAGGAGCCCCACCUCCACCUCUUGACUUGCGAAUGGCGAGCGUCCCCAAGCAGCUGGGAGCGGGGGUCGUCGUCCUUCUCGGCGCCGGCGGUCGCGCGUUCCGAAACGCCGUCGAUGUCCGUCGUGGCGCCCGCGGCGCUGGUGCCGAGCUCCCCGCUCGCCACGCG
Molecule: long non-coding RNA, 509 nt
Organism: Lethenteron reissneri (Far Eastern brook lamprey)
Lineage: Eukaryota; Metazoa; Chordata; Hyperoartia; Petromyzontiformes; Petromyzontidae
Source: RefSeq, a predicted model, not a curated record